This 468-nucleotide ribosomal RNA is filed under the name uncultured bacterium. RNAcentral describes it as "partial 16S ribosomal RNA". It matches the Rfam family "Bacterial small subunit ribosomal RNA", at positions 28 to 507 of the family's 1533-position model. The record is from RNAcentral.
GACGAACGCUGGCGGCGUGCUUAACACAUGCAAGUCUAACGGAAAGGCCCUGCUUUUGUGGGGUGCUCGAGUGGCGAACGGGUGAGUAACACGUGAGUAACCUGCCCUUGACUUUGGGAUAACUUCAGGAAACUGGGGCUAAUACCGGAUAGGAGCUCCUGCUGCAUGGUGGGGGUUGGAAAGUUUCGGCGGUUGGGGCUGGACUCGCGGCUUAUCAGCUUGUUGGUGGGGUAGUGGCUUACCAAGGCUUUGACGGGUAGCCGGCCUGAGAGGGUGACCGGCCACAUGGGGACUGAGAGACGGCCCAGACUCCUACGGGAGGCAGCAGGGGGGAAUAUGGCACAAUGGGCGGAAGCCUGAUGCAGCAACGCCGCGUGCGGGAUGACGGCCUUCGGGUUGUAAACCGAUUUCGCAUGUGACGAAGCGUGAGUGACGGUAAUGGGUAAAGAAGCAACGGCUAACUACGUG